RNAcentral lists this ribosomal RNA (238 nucleotides) under uncultured bacterium. RNAcentral's name for it is "partial 16S ribosomal RNA". It matches the Rfam family "Bacterial small subunit ribosomal RNA", at positions 333 to 564 of the family's 1533-position model. The record is from RNAcentral.
UUGGUCCUACGGGGGGCAGCAGUAGGGAAUCUUCCACAAUGGACGAAAGUCUGAUGGAGCAACGCCGCGUGAGUGAAGAAGGUUUCGGCUCGUAAAGCUCUGUUGGUAGUGAAGAAAGAUAGAGGUAGUAACUGGCCUUUUUUUUACGGUAAUUACUUAGAAAGUCACGGCUAACUACGUGCCAGCAGCCGCGGGAAUACGUAGGUGGCAAGCGUUGUCCGGGUUUAUUGGGCGUAAA